RNAcentral lists this long non-coding RNA (1282 nucleotides) under Oryctolagus cuniculus (rabbit). RNAcentral describes it as "lncRNA (ENSOCUG00000035826.1)". Lineage: Eukaryota; Metazoa; Chordata; Mammalia; Lagomorpha; Leporidae. The record is from RNAcentral.
AUGUGCUGGUACGGCUUCAGACCCCUAGAUGGCUUCACGUGUGAGGUCACUUCCUGCGAGGUCCUCUCGGUGCUACAGGACUUGUAUGAUACUAAACCUGAGAGUUUGGCUCAGGAGUCACGACUGGUGACCAGGAGGCCUGAAAAUACAAUCGUACUAAGUCCAGAGGACAGAGGUCAGAGUGGGAUAAUAUGUGAAGUUCCUCAUGAAACCAGAGACCAUAGGAAUUCAUUAUUGCUGGAGUUGAUGGUGUUUCUGUUUUAUAACCAUCUAAUAAAUUAGCAUUUAAUACUGAGAGAUUUCAUUUUAAGCUCCUAGAAUUGCUUUGUUUUAAGGAAAAUAUUUGCAGGCAGAGACAAGGGAAACCUUUCAGAAAAUGCGGGAGAUAAAAAUUUUAUCCAAGCAAAUGGAUCUUGGAUUUUGAUAUCAUUUUAUCUGUCAGAAUACUAAUCUGUGGUUAAAGAAAGUUUAAAUGUCAAAAAUGACUGAUCUAAAAUUCUCUUGAGUUCACCUAUUUUGUAUCUAUCUGUUUCUUCAUCCACCCUGGGUAUCCUUGUUUUUAAAUUCAUUUCAUAUGCUGAACAGAGUAUUAUAUUCAAAGUUUAAUAUUGAGCAAGACUUUCAUCAGAUGGACAGAUUUGCUUGACUGUCAAAGAAAAGAUAUAUUUAUCAUAUUUUGUCCAUUUGGUUUAGGUUGAGACCUUCAAAUAGCUGGCUUGGUAUUCUGCUUUUAUUUUCAAAUAUUCCAAUACAGUUAACAUAUUGGACAUUGUGGGAAUUCCAUAUUUUUGUUCUUUUAUCGACCUGAGUAUAUUUCUUUUUUUUUUCUAAAGAUUUGUUUUAUUUAUUUGAAAGACAGUCAUAGAGAGAGGUAGAGCCAGAGAGAGAGAGAGAGAGAGAGAGAGAGAGAGAGAAAGAGGUCUUCUAUCCACUGGCUCACUUCCCAAAUGACCACAAUGGCCAGAGCUGAGCCUAUCUGAAGCCAGGAGCUUCUUCUGGGUUUCCCAUGCAGGUGCAGGGACCAAGCACUUGGGCCAUCUUCUACUGCCUUCCCAGGCCACAGCAGAGAGCUGGAUCGGAAAUGGAGCAGCCAGGACUCAAACUGGUGCACAUAUGGGAUGCUGGCACUGCAGGUAGUGGCUUUACCCUCUAGGCCACAGCACUGGCCCCUGAGUAUAUUUCUUUUGGGGUGGGAUAUCAUUUAUUUAAAAUGAGAACCUGUGAAUCAGGUUCAAAUGGCAAGGGUGUGUGCGUAUGUGUGUGUGUAUGUAUGUAUGUGUGU